GAUGAACGCUGGCGGCGUGCUUAACACAUGCCAGUCGAACGGAAAGGCCCUGCGCUUGUGGGUUUCUCGAUUGCCGCGCACGUGUGUGACACGUGUGUAACCUGCCCUUGUCUUUGUGAUAACUUCACGAAACUGCGGCUAAUACCCGAGAGGAUCUCCUGCUGCACGGUGGUGGUUGGAAAGUUUCGGUGUUUGUGUCUGUACUCGCGGGUUAUUAGCUAGUUGGUAAGGUAGUGGCUUACCAAGGCUUCGACGGGUAGCCGACCUGAGAGGGUGAUCGGCCACACAGGAACUGAGACACGGUCCAGACUCCUACGGGAGGCAGCAGUAGGGAAUCUUACGCAAUGGGCGAGAGCCUGACGGAGCAACGCCGCGUGAGUGAUGAAGGUCUUCGGAUCGGAAAACGCUGUUAUUAGGGAAGAACAUAUGUGUAAGUAACUGUGCACAGCUUGACGGUACCUAAUCAGAAAGCCACGGCUAACUACGU
RNAcentral lists this ribosomal RNA (487 nucleotides) under uncultured bacterium. Its description in RNAcentral is "partial 16S ribosomal RNA". It matches the Rfam family "Bacterial small subunit ribosomal RNA", at positions 28 to 506 of the family's 1533-position model. The record is from RNAcentral.